CCUUGAGAAGCAGUCCAGCCCACAAUCAUUGCUCCAUGGCUCAGCCCACAAUCUUAGUGAGCAUUCCACUUGUUGACCUAGCUCUCUGUCUCUAUAUAAGGUAACACUCAACUUUUCACACUCAUCUUUUUAAUCAACCUAACUUGUCCCCACUUUUCAAAAUGUUUCGAAUCGCCACGGUCUUUCUUCGCCACUCCCGCACGGCUUCUCGCUCCCCACGCUUUCCACCCGCCAUCUCCACUUCCUUCACUUCCCAUUUCGCCCCACCAUUUCCCCGACUUCCCCUCCGCAACUCUCCCUUUCCACCCCUUUCACCGCGCUCAACUUCCUUCCCUUCCCAUUUCACCCAACCCUUUCCCCGAUUUCCCCUCCGCAUCUCUCCCUUUCCACCCCUUUCACCGCGCUCCACUUCCUUCCCUUCCCAUUUCACCCCACCCUUUCCCCGACUUCCCCUCCGCAACUCUCCCUUUCCACCCCUUUCACCGCGCUCAACUUCCUUCCCUUCCCAUUUCACCCCACCAUUUCCCCGAUUUCCCUUCCGUAGCUCUCCCUCUCCACCCCUUUCACCGCACUCCACUUCCUUUCUUUCCCAUUUCACCCCACCCUUUCUCCGACUACCCCUCCGCAGCUCUCCCUUUUCACCCCUUUCACCGCGCUCCACUUCCUUUCCUUCCCAUUUCACCCCACCCUUUCCCCGACUUCUCCUCCGCAACUCUCCUUUUCCACCCCUUUCACCGUGCUCCACUUCCUUCCCUUCUCAUUUCACUCCACCCUUUCCCCGACUUCCCCUCCGCAACUCUUCAUUUCCACCCCUUUCACUAUGCUCAACUUCUAUCCCUUCCCAUUUUACCCCGCCAUUUCCCCGAUUUUCCCUCCGCAGCUCUCCCUUUCCACCCCUUUCACCGCGCUCCACUUCCUUCCAUUCCCAUUUAACCCCACCCUUUCCCGGACUUCUCCUCCGCAACUCUCCUUUUCCACCCCUUUCACCGCGCUCCACUUCCUUCCAUUCCCAUUUAACCCCACCCUUUCCCGGACUUCUCCUCCGCAACUCUCCUUUUCCACCCCUUUCACCGCGCUCCACUUCCUUCCAUUCCCAUUUAACCCCACCCUUUCCCGGACUUCUCCUCCGCAACUCUCCUUUUCCACCCCUUUCACCGCGCUCCACUUCCUUCCAUUCCCAUUUAACCCCACCCUUUCCCGGACUUCUCCUCCGCAACUCUCCUUUUCCACCCCUUUCACCGCGCUCCACUUCCUUCCCUUCUCAUUUCACCCCACCCUUUCUCCGACUACCCUUCCGCAGCUCUCCCUUUCCACCCCUUUCACUGCGCUUUCACCGCGCUCCACUUCCUUCCCUUCUCAUUUCACCCCACCCUUUCCCCGACUUCCCCUCCGCAACUCUUCCUUUCCACCCCUUUCACUGUGCUCAACUUCCUUCCCUUCCCAUUUCACCCCGCCAUUUCCCCGAUUUCCCCUCCGCAGCUCUCCCUUUCCACCCCUUUCACCGCGCUCCACUUCCUUCCCUUCCCAUUUCACCCCACCCUUUCCCCGACUUCCCCUCCGCAACUCUCCCUUUCCACCCCUUUCACCGCGCUCAACUUCCUUCCCUUCCCAUUUCACCCCACCAUUUCCCCGAUUUCCCCUCCGCAACUCUCCCUUUCCACCCCUCUCACCGCGCUCCACUUCCUUCCCUUCCCAUUUCACCCCACCCUUUCCCCGACUUCCCCUCCGCAACUCUCCCUUUCCACCCAUUUCACCGCGCUCAACUUCCUUCCCUUCCCAUUUCACCCCACCCUUUCCCCGACUUCCCCUCCGCACCUCUCCCUUUCCACCCCUUUCACCGCGCUCCACUUCCUUCCCUUUCCGUUUCACCCCACCCUUUCACCUCUUCUUCAUUUUUUUUUUUGAAUUUGAGUUGUUCUUGUUUUAUUUUCCUUUGUGUCUAUAUGAUUCUUUUGCUCCCCAAUCUGCUCCUAUGAUGAUCCGCGAUCCGCAAAGCUACUCCUAUGACCCUACUCCUAUGAUCCCCGAUCCACCAAGAAGCCCAAUGGGCCAUCAUUUGAUGGCCCAGCCCACAAUCUUGAUGAGUCCGUGAGAAGCAGCCUAGCCCACAAUCAAUUCUCCAUGGCCCAACCCACAAUCUGGCGAGUUUGAUGCGUCCUUGAGAAGCAGCCCAGCUCACAAUCAUUGCUUCAUGGCCCAGCCCACAAUCUAGCGAGUUUGAUGCGUCCUUGAGAAGCAGCCCAGCCCACAUUCAUUGCUCCAUGGCUCAGCCCACAAUCCUAGUGAGCAUCUCACUUGUUGAACUAGCUCUCUGCCUCUAUAUAAGGUAACACUCAACUUUUCACACUCAUCUUUUUAAUCAAAAGACAACGAAAACCUAACUUGUCCCCACUUUUCAAAAUGUUUCGAAUCGCCACGGUGUUUCUUCGCCACUCCCGCACGGCUUCUCGCUCCCCA
This 2457-nucleotide long non-coding RNA is filed under the name Brassica napus (rape). Its description in RNAcentral is "long non-coding RNA (BNAP_LNC026355)". Lineage: Eukaryota; Viridiplantae; Streptophyta; Magnoliopsida; Brassicales; Brassicaceae. The record is from RNAcentral.